Molecule: non-coding RNA, 60 nt
Filed under: Trypanosoma lewisi
Lineage: Eukaryota; Euglenozoa; Kinetoplastea; Trypanosomatida; Trypanosomatidae
Source: RNAcentral
AUGUGAUAUAUAAACAAAACAACAAAGAAUCGAGAGUUAACGUUGAAUGAUUAAAGUGUG